Molecule: long non-coding RNA, 1812 nt
Filed under: Monodelphis domestica (gray short-tailed opossum)
Lineage: Eukaryota; Metazoa; Chordata; Mammalia; Didelphimorphia; Didelphidae
Description: lncRNA (ENSMODG00000044523.1)
Source: RNAcentral
GUCUGGAUCGAGCAGCAGCUUUGCGAGGGUAAAAAAUAACCUUGACCAGAGAGAUGUGGCUCAAAAAAAAAUUUUCUAGGCACUAGAUAUUAAAACUGAAUUUAAGAUCAGAAAAGAAAUCAGAAGAUUGAGAGGUUUUUCUCCCGAAGUGGUUACGCCAAACUGUCAAGAUUAAAAUUUAGGGGAGACUGAGGCAGGUAGAAAUUAGUUUUUCUCUGCAAGGAGGAUUACAUUUUUAGAGGUUUAUUAAAAGUUAAGGAUUAAAGAAAAUACAGGAUAAGGAAAACGUGCCUGGGCCAAGGGAGGCUGCCUGGGCGUCUGCUCUUCCCUCUGCCCUUUUCACCCUCCGAGGUCAUGUGUUGGGGGGGGGGCCUUGCUCGGGGCAGAGCUUUAAGCCCAGAGAAGCGCUUCUAGGAAGGCCCUUCAUCAGCGGAGCAAGUGGCACCGAGGUGGGGAUUUGAGCUAAAAGCGGCUUCUUUGCUUUUCCCCUUCCUGUUCCUCUAGGUCAGCUCCAUACAGAGCCAGAUGCAGUCCAAAGGAGGCUAUGGUGGGGGGAUGCCUUCCAAUGGCCAGAUGCAGCUGGUGGAGACAAAGGCCAGAUAACCCUGGGAGUCCCUCGAGUUCGUGUGAAUUUCCGGAUCUCGUCUACUGUUUUGGGGUUUUUGAUUUGGAGAUUUGGGGCUUUGGGAGUUGUUUUCUGGUUUGGAAUUGGGGCGCGCGGGCUGAGCCUGCUUCACGUGUUCAUUUUGAGAAAGAAAUGGGCCGGGACCGCGUUCAUCCUCUCGUGACGGCUCUGGUGACGUUUCUCUGCCGUGCUCCAAAGACGCUGAAGUGGAUCUCGUCGUCCUUCCAGCGGCGUGCGUGCGUCUGGCUUCCCCCGCACCGUGACUAUAGAGUAGCCCGGCUUGCGGUGUUCUGUCUUAGGCGUAUUCUCAAGGCCUAUCCGGUAGGCGACUGGCUUUAGCAUCUGCCCCUCGUUUCCUCUAAACCGUCUGUCCCAGCACUUUUCUUGUCCUGACUUCGGUCCCGGGCAUGCCAGAGAAGGUUGGUCUCUGGACAAGCACGAUGACCCUUUCUCCUCUUGUUGGAAGCCCGGCUGAGCCCCUGGGCUUGAGGAAGCCGCCAAGUUUUCCGGGUGGCCCCCACUCUCUCGGCAUCACAGCAAAGAUCGCUUGUCACAGCUGCUUUCCAUCGGCGUCCCUUUUUGUUCUCUGCCAUUUUGAAACGAAACAAAGCUGGCGUUCAGAAGACACGACGUUGUAAAUGUUGAGUAUGUUUAUUUUUAAAGGACACCGUCAAGCCUGCAAAGAGCAGAUGAGUGCUUCCAUCCAUGCUCUCUCUUUUCCCUUCUCCUCCCUGCUGUCUUCUUUUAUGUUCCUCCUUAGACUGCCCGUCAUCAGGAACUGCUCCCCACACAGUUGGCAGGCUUGGGUUUUUCAUCUAGCUGUAUUCAGGUCAGCUUACGUUGCUCAUAGCAACGCGCUGACUUGGCAGAAAAGAAACUUGAAAACAACUCACAGGGUCACUUUUUACUCUUGAGAGGCGAGAAGCCUUUUGCUCAGGUUCCAAAGUACGUGAAUAUUGCACUGUCUCCAGAUUCUAGAGCUGAUUCUUCUCCCCUUCCUCAUCCCCACGUCUUGCUAUCACGGUUGUCAGAAUAGAGUCGUUGGUUUGAUUUUCUGUGGAUUUCUUUCAAAAGCACGUGCCCAAUCCAGCUCCUCCAUGCCUGCCUGUGAUCGAACAGUAGGGUAACCCGAGUACCCCCACCAGCCUGGAAAUAAACGGAUGGGAAGAAGGAAAUGUCUUCUGUUG